AAGUUUAUAAAGCCACAUCCUAUUUAUGAGAGAUAAUAAAGCUUCUUUAGUUAGUUGCUGAUCCGCACCAGCGUCUGGAGAUCAAACUAUUUCCACAGAGAAAAACUCAAAAAGAGCCUAUUUGAAAUCCUGACAGAAAUGGGGCGAGCAUUGACUCUGCUGAUCACAGUGAUCCUGUUUGUGUCGUGGAGUGUCAAAGUACAGUCCUCAGAUGCUUCUACCACUCCAGGCCAAUCCACCACCAAGUCAUCUGCAAGCAAUGCAAUGCCACACCACGUCGCUCUGAUCCUGCUCAGCGUCGUGGUCGGGUCCAUCCUGGGAAGAGGGCAAUGAAGGAUGAAGCUGUAAAGAUGCCAUGAGUGUCAAACCUUCUCUUUCUUCCUCCCUUUACAUUCACUCUCAUGUCUGAAUUUAAAACUCAAUCGUCCAGCGUCAAAAGAAGAGAAUUAAAAAAUAACUCUUUAACAGUCUUGUCUGUGUUGAGGCUGCAUUGUGGGGUAGUGGUUAGCACUCUCACCUAAAAGCAAAGAAGCUUAUUGGUGUGGGUGUGACCAGCCCCCCCCCCUCCUUUGCCUCAUAUUAUACAUUCCAUCAUUGCUCCCAGCAGAACACAGACACUCACCUGAGUACAGGAGCCAGCUCACCUUUGCACAAAUAGCAUGCAUGCAGGAAUGAUACACAUACGACAUGUUUUUGUUUAUAUGCAUGAGUACGGCGUGUGAGCUGCUCCGUAUUUGUAUUGUAAACGCGUUUGAAAGUUCUUGGAGCGCCAACAAGUUUGUGAAAUUCGAAUGAGUGUUUAGUUUGAUAGGCCCCGCCCUUUUGACUAACACUCAUUUAAAUGCAGCAAUGAUUAAUCUCCAGCAACUUGUUGCUUUGUGUUUCCAACCUCCCAUCCCCGCCCCCACCCGACGACUUUUUUCCUCAACUUCCUCUUUCGUACCCCCCCAUCUCUAACAUCCCACUCUCUCCAUUUCUCUUCUUUUUCAAGUCCACUUCCAACAAGAAAUCUAUAGAAACAAAAUACAUAUUUAUAAAGUUUGGCUUUAAAAACCAAAGAAGUUCAUACAAAACUGUACAGUCAAAUUAGAUCAAAUUGUCUGUGUAAAAGAAAGAAAUAAAGCAAUCUAUGAUUAAGAGCUAAAUGUAAAACAUAAAAUGGCACCAGCUGACUAAAUAUUGCUAAAAAAUAUAUAUUUUUUUAUACAUAAACAAAAAAAAUACAGCAACAAGAGUGUUCCAACUCGGCUAUUAAAAUGUCAGUUUUCAAAUUUAUUUCAGUUUCUAAAUAAAUUUACUUUUUAAAAACAUAUUUAAAACAUUUCCUUUAACACUUUAUCAUAGAAAAACAAAAUAAGCCAAGCACACAGAACAAAGCAGGAACUACAGAUCUGCUUUACAGCAUUAAGAAAACUCAAAAUUUACAUAAAGUUGUUAGUUUUCUGUCUCUGCUCUCUGCUUUUUUUCUAUUUGAGCUCCUGGGUGAACUGCUGGUUGAGUAAAAACUGUCUCCAUCCCAUGUUUUCCCAAAGACAAACAAAGGACUGUCCACGAUGUACUCAUUGUUAUGCUUGACCCUUGGAUAUUCCUGUGCUUUGAAUAUACAGAUUGUAGUUAUGUCAUCGUCAUCUGUUUAGUCUAAAGGUAUCAUAGAAAUGGUUCUGUCAUUACAGUUUAUUGCAUGGAAAAAAUAUAUAUUUAUAGAUGGUUAUGUCACCAUGUUUAUGAUUGACUCAGUACAUUAUACCUUAAUCUUGUGUAAUGAAUGCUCUGAAUCUGUAUUUUCACUCUGUAAUGAAAGCCUUAUAAAUUUUGUCACAAUAAAAAGUGAUUUUCACUUUA
Molecule: long non-coding RNA, 1842 nt
Organism: Oryzias melastigma (Indian medaka)
Lineage: Eukaryota; Metazoa; Chordata; Actinopteri; Beloniformes; Adrianichthyidae
Exons: 4
Source: RefSeq, a predicted model, not a curated record